GACGAACGCUGGCGGCGUGCUUAACACAUGCAAGUCGAACGGAGGGGCCCUGCUUUUGUGGGGUGCUCGAGUGGCGAACGGGUGAGUAACACGUGAGUAACCUGCCCUUGACUUUGGGAUAACUUCAGGAAACUGGGGCUAAUACCGGAUAUGAGCUCCUGCUGCAUGGUGGGGGUUGGAAAGUUUCGGCGGUUGGGGAUGGACUCGCCGCUUAUCAGCUUGUUGGUUGGGUAGUGGCUUACCAAGGCUUUGACGGGUAGCCGGCCUGUGAGGGUGACCGGCAACAUUGGGACUGAGAUACGGACCAGACUCCAACGGGAGGCAGCAGUGGGGAAUAUUGCACAAUGGGCGGAAGCCUGAUGCAGAAACGCCGCGGGCGGGAUGACGGCCUUCGGGUUGUAAACCGCUUUCGCCUGUGACGAAGCGUGAGUGACGGUAAUGGGUAAAGAAGCACCGGCUAACUACGUG
Molecule: ribosomal RNA, 468 nt
Filed under: uncultured bacterium
Lineage: Bacteria
Description: partial 16S ribosomal RNA
Rfam family: Bacterial small subunit ribosomal RNA
Source: RNAcentral